AAACCGCGAAUGGCUCAUUAAAUCAGUUAUGGUUCCUUAGAUCGUACCUUACUACUUGGAUAACUGUGGUAAUUCUAGAGCUAAUACAUGCAGCAGAGCUCCGACCUUCGGGGACGAGCGCUUUUAUUAGACCAAGACCAAUCGGACUUCGGUCCGAAGCUCAUGGUGACUCUGGAUAACUUUGGGCUGAUCGCACGGUCUCGUACCGGCGACGCAUCUUUCAAGUGUCUGCCUUAUCAACUUUCGAUGGUAGGUUAUGCGCCUACCAUGGUCGUAACGGGUAACGGGGAAUCAGGGUUCGAUUCCGGAGAGGGAGCCUGAGAAACGGCUACCACAUCCAAGGAAGGCAGCAGGCGCGCAAAUUACCCACUCCCGGCACGGGGAGGUAGUGACGAAAAAUAACAAUACGGGACUCUAUUGAGGCCCCGUAAUUGGAAUGAGUACACUCUAAAUCCUUUAACGAGGAUCUAUUGGAGGGCAAGUCUGGUGCCAGCAGCCGCGGUAAUUCCAGCUCCAAUAGCGUAUAUUAAAGUUGUUGCGGUUAAAAAGCUCGUAGUUGGAUCUCAGUUCCAGACGGGUGGUCCACCUUUGGUGGUUACUGCCUGGCCUGAACAAAUCCAGCCGGUUUUCCUUGAUGCUCUUCACCGAGUGUCUUGGGUGACCGGCACGUUUACUUUGAAAAAAUUAGAGUGCUCAAAGCAGGCGUGACGCCUGAAUAAUGGUGCAUGGAAUAAUGGAAUAGGACCUCGGUUCUAUUUUGUUGGUUUUCGGAACACGAGGUAAUGAUUAAGAGGGACAGACGGGGGCAUUCGUAUUGCGACGCUAGAGGUGAAAUUCUUGGACCGUCGCAAGACGAACUACU
This 862-nucleotide ribosomal RNA is filed under the name Orientzomus sp. JCM0030.2. Its description in RNAcentral is "SSU rRNA". It matches the Rfam family "Eukaryotic small subunit ribosomal RNA", at positions 84 to 944 of the family's 1831-position model. Lineage: Eukaryota; Metazoa; Arthropoda; Arachnida; Schizomida; Hubbardiidae. The record is from RNAcentral.